AAAGUCGUAACAAGGUUUCCGUAGGUGAACCUGCGGAAGGAUCAUUAUUGAAUGUACUGAGGUUAGCUGAGCUGGUCUUUAACUAGACAAGUGCUUGCUGCUUCUAUUCAUCCUUCUCCACCUGUGCACUUAUUGUAGAACUCUGAGGAAUUGGUCUAGGUUAACGCCAGGGCCUUAGUACUCUAGGUUCUAUGUAUCUUACCUACUCUAUGAAUGUCAUUGAAUGUCUUUUAUUGGGGCUUGAUUGACCCUUUAAACCUUAUACAACUUUCAGCAACGGAUCUCUUGGCUCUC
This 294-nucleotide unclassified non-coding RNA is filed under the name Basidiomycota sp. RNAcentral describes it as "partial contains small subunit ribosomal RNA, internal transcribed spacer 1, and 5.8S ribosomal RNA". The stretch from base 1 to 47 matches the Rfam family "Eukaryotic small subunit ribosomal RNA", at positions 1785 to 1831 of the family's 1831-position model. Lineage: Eukaryota; Fungi; Basidiomycota. The record is from RNAcentral.